RNAcentral lists this ribosomal RNA (301 nucleotides) under uncultured bacterium. Its description in RNAcentral is "partial 16S ribosomal RNA". It matches the Rfam family "Bacterial small subunit ribosomal RNA", at positions 509 to 808 of the family's 1533-position model. The record is from RNAcentral.
CAGCCGCCGCGGUAAUACGUAGGUCCCGAGCGUUGUCCGGAUUUAUUGGGCGUAAAGCGAGCGCAGGCGGUUAGAAAAGUCUGAAGUGAAAGGCGGUGGCUCAACCAUUGUAGGCUUUGGAAACUGUUUAACUUGAGUGCAGAAGGGGAGAGUGGAAUUCCAUGUGUAGCGGUGAAAUGCGUAGAUAUAUGGAGGAACACCGGUGGCGAAAGCGGCUCUCUGGUCCGUAACUGACACUGAGGCGCGAAAGCGUGGGGAGCAAACAGGAUUAGAGACCCCAGUAGUCCCUGUCUCUUAUACA